AUGAUGGCUUCAGACUGUAUAAUAUAUGCAUAUUUUAUAUACAUAUAUUAAAUUUUUAUAGUCUGGUCUUGAAAAUAGAAUCAUGUUUGCUUCUAGUAUUUUUAGCACUUAAUUACGGAGAACAGAUGCCUGUUCCUUCGUAAGCAAAAUACUGUAUGUGUAGUAUGAGUCAUUAUCUAUCACUAUAUAUGAACUAAACAAGUUCGUGAAAGAAUAAUAAAGGGAUGGAAAUGGCUCAUACUUGCACCUUUAAAGCAUUUUCUGUUUAACAUCCCCAUUUGUUUUAUUUCUUCUUUCCUAGACUGACCACUUCGUCAAUUACACGUGACGUUGUCUCUCGUGGCGUGCAUCCGUCUCCCUGUCCCAUCCCUCACCCCCCAUGGGUGUCAGUGUUGUCCUCUCUGGGGAUCCAGGAAUUGGUAUCCCAGGGUGGAAUUUUGUCUGUCCAGACUCCGGAUGCUUCCAGGUGUGCGUCAGUUGGUGGUUCCUUUUUUUCAGCAUUACGUGGAAACCCACAGCAACAAGGCUUGAAUACAGGACUUUCUUCAAUAACUACCGUCCCUAUGUACAAAGUUCGGCAUGCUCGGUGUUUUACCAUAACCCACCGUAAUAUGGCAUGCCAGUUCACUUUAUAUCAGUUUAGUUUCCAUUUGCACGUUUCAUUUUAUAUGAAAUAUAUAUAUAUAUUAAAAAAUUCAGAAUUUUUUAAUUAUUAUAUUAUUUUUGGAUCUUUCAGUUAAGGCAGCUGCCAGAUUAGCCACUUUGUUUAAAAUAUAUUUGUAUAUGAAACAAAUUUAUAUAUAUUAAGUAUGGCAGCUUAAAUUGAGUUGCAAUUUUAUCACCAACUUAAUUAUAUUUUUUUACACCAAAAUGUGCUUAAAAGAGAACUAAAUGGUGAAGUUCGGAAACAGAAUAUGUUUGAUAUUUUUCCUAUUUUUUUUUUUUUUUUAAAGUGUGGAACCGAGUUUGAUAC
This 973-nucleotide long non-coding RNA is filed under the name Androctonus crassicauda. The record is from RNAcentral. Lineage: Eukaryota; Metazoa; Arthropoda; Arachnida; Scorpiones; Buthidae.